CCUACGGGAGGCAGCAGUAGGGAAUCUUCCACAAUGGGCGAAAGCCUGAUGGAGCAACGCCGCGUGAGUGAAGAAGGUUUUCGGAUCGUAAAACUCUGUUGUAAGGGAAGAACAAGUACAGUAGUAACUGGCUGUACCUUGACGGUACCUGACCAGAAAGCCACGGCUAACUACGUGCCAGCAGCCGCGGUAAUACGUAGGUGGCAAGCGUUGUCCGGAAUUAUUGGGCGUAAAGCGCGCGCAGGCGGUUCCUUAAGUCUGAUGUGAAAGCCCCCGGCUCAACCGGGGAGGGUCAUUGGAAACUGGGGAACUUGAGUGCAGAAGAGGAAAGCGGAAUUCCACGUGUAGCGGUGAAAUGCGUAGAGAUGUGGAGGAACACCAGUGGCGAAGGCGGCUUUCUGGUCUGUAACUGACGCUGAGGCGCGAAAGCGUGGGGAGCAAACAGGAUUAGAUACCCUGGUAGUCCACGCCGUAAACGAUGAGUGCUAAGUGUUAGGGGGUUUCCGCCCCUUAGUGCUGCAGCUAACGCAUUAAGCACUCCGCCUGGGGAGUACGGCCGCAAGGCUGAAACUCAAAGGAAUUGACGG
This 587-nucleotide ribosomal RNA is filed under the name uncultured bacterium. Its description in RNAcentral is "bacterial SSU rRNA". It matches the Rfam family "Bacterial small subunit ribosomal RNA", at positions 338 to 916 of the family's 1533-position model. The record is from RNAcentral.